Long non-coding RNA from Mus caroli (Ryukyu mouse), 378 nucleotides. RefSeq lists it as uncharacterized. The record is from RefSeq and is a predicted model, not a curated record. NCBI's taxonomy places the organism in Eukaryota, Metazoa, Chordata, Mammalia, Rodentia, Muridae.
UUGUCUUUGCAUUUAUGUAGUUUUUCUUUUAAUUGUUAUACACCUCAAUUGGAGCCGAAAGACAGUAGGCAAAACUCAGCGAGAUGAAUUUCAACCUUGUAUUUUAUGUGGUGUCCGAAACUUCCAGGCAUGCAUCUAACCGGUAGCAAGAAAAACUGUAACAGACCCAAUGAGCAGAGGCAACAUGGCAAGUGACCAGUGGAGUUUCUGAUCAGCUUUGGCUAUAGGAAACCAAAGGAAGAGCCAUUGUAUCUGGGUGAUCUACCAAGCCUUGUGGAGAGAAGGUGAAACCCCAGCUGACAGUAUAUUGUUAACAUGGAAUCUGUGUCAAGGACCCCAGUGUAGCAGACCCAAGGAAGGAAAAAGCUUACCCCAGGU